This 253-nucleotide ribosomal RNA is filed under the name uncultured bacterium. RNAcentral's name for it is "partial 16S ribosomal RNA". It matches the Rfam family "Bacterial small subunit ribosomal RNA", at positions 524 to 776 of the family's 1533-position model. The record is from RNAcentral.
UACGUAGGGGGCAAGCGUUAUCCGGAUUUACUGGGUGUAAGGGGAGCGUAGACGGCAGCGCAAGUCUGGAGUGAAAUGCCGGGGCCCAACCCCGGAACUGCUUUGGAAACUGUGCAGCUCGAGUGCAGGAGAGGUAAGCGGAAUUCCUAGUGUAGCGGUGAAAUGCGUAGAUAUUAGGAGGAACCCCAGUGGCGAAGGCGGCUUACUGGACUGUAACUGACGUUGAGGCUCGAAAGCGUGGGGAGCAAACAGG